UUUUUACUCUCUCCGUCCGAAAAUAUUUGUCAUCAAAAUGGAUAAGAAGAGGUGUAUCUAUAACUAAAAUACAUCUAGAUAUAUUUUUUUUAUUCAUUUUGAUGACAAGUAUUUCUGAACGAUGGGAGUAUAAG
This is a non-coding RNA of Triticum aestivum (bread wheat), 134 nucleotides long. The record is from Rfam. NCBI's taxonomy places the organism in Eukaryota, Viridiplantae, Streptophyta, Magnoliopsida, Poales, Poaceae.